This 1036-nucleotide ribosomal RNA is filed under the name Escherichia coli. RNAcentral's name for it is "partial 23S ribosomal RNA". It matches the Rfam family "Bacterial large subunit ribosomal RNA", at positions 141 to 1217 of the family's 2925-position model. The record is from RNAcentral. Lineage: Bacteria; Pseudomonadati; Pseudomonadota; Gammaproteobacteria; Enterobacterales; Enterobacteriaceae.
CGACACACUAUCAUUAACUGAAUCCAUAGGUUAAUGAGGCGAACCGGGGGAACUGAAACAUCUAAGUACCCCGAGGAAAAGAAAUCAACCGAGAUUCCCCCAGUAGCGGCGAGCGAACGGGGAGCAGCCCAGAGCCUGAAUCAGUAUGUGUGUUAGUGGAAGCGUCUGGAAAGGCGCGCGAUACAGGGUGACAGCCCCGUACACAAAAAUGCACAUGCUGUGAGCUCGAUGAGUAGGGCGGGACACGUGGUAUCCUGUCUGAAUAUGGGGGGACCAUCCUCCAAGGCUAAAUACUCCUGACUGACCGAUAGUGAACCAGUACCGUGAGGGAAAGGCGAAAAGAACCCCGGCGAGGGGAGUGAAAAAGAACCUGAAACCGUGUACGUACAAGCAGUGGGAGCACGCUUAGGCGUGUGACUGCGUACCUUUUGUAUAAUGGGUCAGCGACUUAUAUUCUGUAGCAAGGUUAACCGAAUAGGGGAGCCGAAGGGAAACCGAGUCUUAACUGGGCGUUAAGUUGCAGGGUAUAGACCCGAAACCCGGUGAUCUAGCCAUGGGCAGGUUGAAGGUUGGGUAACACUAACUGGAGGACCGAACCGACUAAUGUUGAAAAAUUAGCGGAUGACUUGUGGCUGGGGGUGAAAGGCCAAUCAAACCGGGAGAUAGCUGGUUCUCCCCGAAAGCUAUUUAGGUAGCGCCUCGUGAAUUCAUCUCCGGGGGUAGAGCACUGUUUCGGCAAGGGGGUCAUCCCGACUUACCAACCCGAUGCAAACUGCGAAUACCGGAGAAUGUUAUCACGGGAGACACACGGCGGGUGCUAACGUCCGUCGUGAAGAGGGAAACAACCCAGACCGCCAGCUAAGGUCCCAAAGUCAUGGUUAAGUGGGAAACGAUGUGGGAAGGCCCAGACAGCCAGGAUGUUGGCUUAGAAGCAGCCAUCAUUUAAAGAAAGCGUAAUAGCUCACUGGUCGAGUCGGCCUGCGCGGAAGAUGUAACGGGGCUAAACCAUGCACCGAAGCUGCGGCAGCGACGCUGA